Symsagittifera roscoffensis is the source of this 3564-nucleotide long non-coding RNA. RefSeq lists it as uncharacterized. Lineage: Eukaryota; Metazoa; Xenacoelomorpha; Acoela; Convolutidae. The record is from RefSeq and is a predicted model, not a curated record. The transcript is spliced from 2 exons.
UUUAUUUUAAACAUAGAGACGGACUAUUAUAAGAGGCUGUUGGUAAGCAGUUCUUGUAGGAUGUUACGGUAGUAGACUCCUUAGCUCCUUGUAGGAUUAAUGCCGGGUCUGUUUGUAACCCUGGUACGGCUGCCGCUGAAGCGGAGGAGCGAAAAAAUGACAAAAUCAAAGAUCUUGUAGAUGAUGGAUAACUUUUGAGAUUCAGGGCCAGGGAGUUCAAUUCCGGUUCUAUUUCCGGGGGGUCAAUUCCAAUUCCUUGUAAUUCAAUUCCAAUUCCUGGAGAGACUAAAAUUCAAUUCCAAUUCCUGGCUACUUUCCGUUGCCACAAUAUCACCUAGGUUGCAAACUCUGCAAACUCAAGUUGGAUUUCAGAUACCAAGCAUAUUGAAAUAGUACGAUUGAUCAUGUAAUUUAAGUUUGUUUUCAAGCAUUUUUACGUUUAUUAAGAUUAAGACCGAGCCAUUUUUCAAGAUAUCAGUUUUAUUUGACAAUUUUUGACGUCAAUUCCAUGUCAAUUCCAGCCAAAAAUUCAAUUCCCAUUCCCGAAACUGGAAUUGACCCCAAUUCCCAAUUCCUGUCAAUUCUCAAUUCCAACAAAAGUCAAGUACUUGAAUUCCCUGUUCAGGGCGCGGCCGGCCCCAGCGCAGAAAUUUUUUUGAGCAAGCUUUGUAAGAACCUAAGCAUAUACACUGAGGAACACAGAGCAGGCAGCUUUUUUUUAAACGGUCUCCCUGGCAAUACAGACUGCGAACGCUGCUUGCGUACUCGGAACAAAAAAUGACAAAAUAACUGACGAAAUUUUUUAGUUGUAACACUUGUUUAUUAUAUUUUCUCGUGUCGAGUUGCGUGUUCUAAUUGAAGAAACGUAACCCGUAUCGAUUUUAAUUGAAAAGGACUUCAACACUUGUCAUCUCCUUUUAUCAUUAUCACUUCCAUAUCUAGAAAAUUCCAAGGAUUUUGACUAAAAUACGUAAUGAAGGGACUCCUGACUGUAACCUCGGUUACUAUGACACUUUUGACCUUCUGAUUAUCCUUUUAAAAAGAGGAGAAGAGAAAAAAACAUCAACACUAAUCAUCUCCCUUUUAUAAUUAUCAUUACCAAAAAACUAAAUUACAAAAGGGGCCCUUCCGUUUAGUUACGGCAAGUGCACAAGCUGGAUAGGGCCAUACCAGCGGUAUCAAAAUGCAUAUAUAUCAGCAAUGAAGUCAUAAAUCAGCAUUAAAUGCAUCGUCAUAAUGUUAAUUUAUCUUAGCCGUCCUUCCUCUACAAUAGCGCUUAUGGAGUUGUCGAUAAAUUGAACUUUGCGUAGCGAUCUGCACCCCCUUAUACAAAGUAUAGAGCUCCUCAGGAGCGCGAAGCUUAUUUUAGUUCUUAAAUACUUGAUUACCAUAUCUUGAAAAUUCCAAAGAUUUUGACUGGAAUAUGUGAUGAAGGGACUCCUGACUGUAACCUUGGUUACUAUGAUACUUUUGACCUUCUGAUUGCCUUAAAAAACGUAAUCGAUCUUAACGAAAAUCUAAUUAAUCUAUAACAUUCAUCUUUUGAUCAUUUGAGUUGCUCAAGGUCACCCAUAUUGUUUUAAUUUUUUUUGACCUACUGAUGAUGUUCAAAGAACUGUUUUCGGUGGAUGUCUGUCAAUACAAGUUACGCUGAAAUUAAACCAUCCGGAAAGCAUCUGAUUGAGCGGAAGCUACGUAAAACCUAUUUCAAGUUAGAAGAGCCUAAUUUGAAAUAUCAACCCAUUGUGUAUGAAACGGAAUCAUGGCCCAGAAUUGAUCUCAAUACACCCCGAGGAUAUUGUCCGUUUAUCUGUUCCCGCGAGGAGCACCUAGAACGACAAAAGUUAAAUAGAGAACCUGGCAAGGGAUUGCCGGGUACUUACAUACAGAAAGAUAGAGAGCUUAUCAAACGAAUCAUUACUUUUUGUGAGUGUUGCUCAGUUUCACUUAACAACCUGGCUAACCAUCUUGAGUCUGAAAGUCAUAAGGAUUUCGUAUCCAAUGAGAAGUACUUUCUCCUAAUUGAUAGCCUUUUGAAGGAAAUAAACAAUACCGGACAUUUUUUCCUCUGUGUUUUUUUUGACCAAGAGUUUGCAUUCGAGAGAAGUCUCCUCAAUCAUGAAGGAUCAGUUGAAAACACGGAUCAAGCAGAAAACAAAGAAAACUGUUCUUCCGAGCCGAUUCCUCAAGAAGGACUGGAUUGUUUGAGUAAAGGUGACAAAAGCACUUGCAAUAUAGGGCAAACAGAUUGCAGAGAAAAGGACAGUUUCAAGCAAAUUGGUAAUUCUGGUAUUCGGGCAAAAGAAACUUAUCAGAUAGACUCAAAAUUCUCAAAACCGAAAACGCCGGCAAUUGAGAAAGUUUUGAGCUCUGCUUUUUCUCUUCAAAACUUCAAUAUUUCGGUUUCCCCCGGGUCUAUGAUUAUUACACUGGGAAGAAACAACCCGAGUUCUACUGGAAUUUGCAAUGAUAUAAGGUCGAAUACUUGUGAUCUGAGAAAGCGAAAAAAACGACUUUUCAGUCCAAUCAAGGGUGAUCAGAUUGUAGACAGAUCGAGCAUCAUCCAAGAUGUAAAGAGCUUACGAUUAAUUCGGAGCGGUUUUGCCGAUUGGGGAACGAACAAAAAGACGCGCAGGAUUUGUCAUUCGACAUCUGUCAAGAAGCAUCAAACAAAUAUAAAUAAUUCAAUUACGCAAAAUUUCCAUACUUUUCUGAAAGGUCCCGCUGACGAUUAUCUCGUUGUGAAGUCCGAUGACACUACUCCUGAAAUAAGUGAGGAAUCUUUCACAGACAGCUCGGAAAACUUUCUACGUGAUCGAGGUCUCGUGGGUUGUAGCGAAUACGAUUCUGAGUGCGCUUUUUCGCCACAAAUUGGGACAAAACAGAGUAAAAGAAACAGCAACAGUGUCUUCAAUUUCGACCAAUAUGAUACUCAGAAGGAAACAGAAGAAGGGCAAUUCGAAGAGGCAAGCAAUGAUCAUCUUUCGAAAAGAUGUGUGGAGUUUGGGGCUGAGGGGUUGUUGGACUUAAGAAGCCGUCAGCCGUCAGCCAUCUCGUCUCGCGGGCAGGGAAAAGAAGAGUUGAAAAAAGGUCAAGGUUCCCCUCGUGAUUCUAGUUAUACGCAACCGAAACAAGAGAAGAAGAAAACCGGAUCUGCAAAUAUCAAUGCGAGGAGAUGCAAAAAUAAAAUUUAUAUUGCGUUCAGGAAGUUGAAUGAAAAAAAGUUCGACGUUGAAAACUUGGACUCGUUUGCUUUUCAAAAACUUGGUUUGAACUAAUCUUUAUUUUUUUGGCGGUUGAAAGAAUGAAUUUUUUUUGAUGAUCUAUCCAGCUCAAAAGUAGACGCUAUGAGCGGUUACAUAGUUACUUAAUGUCAAAUUCAUUUGAUUUUUCAGGUUUUAUUCGCAAUCGAAACUUCGAUUUUUGUCUAAACUGCAUGAUUUGGAAAGUUAAAUUGCGUCAUGUUUUAGGGGGCAAAAGUUAUUGAGAAAACAUUCAAUCCAACAAUGAAGGUGCAAGAGUCUAGCAAUAACCAUUCACGAAAAUAAACGGCAAACUAGCAAA